Molecule: long non-coding RNA, 880 nt
Organism: Toxorhynchites rutilus septentrionalis
Lineage: Eukaryota; Metazoa; Arthropoda; Insecta; Diptera; Culicidae
Exons: 4
Source: RefSeq, a predicted model, not a curated record
CCUCCAUUGCUUAUUCUAAUACGACGCUCGACUCGGAUGCAGCGCACAACCCUUGUUUUGGUAUACCCGGCUUGAGAUCCGCAGCCGAAUAAACCCCGAGAUACUUCCCCUGGGCAUCGACGAGCUCGUAGCAACUCGUCCCUCGUCGAGAAACAAUAGUGCACGGUGUGUACAAUGGACCCAAUUUGGACUUAUAAGCAUCUUCAGCAGAAGACAACAAAAAAUUGCGUUUAUAAACGCACUGUCCUACUUCAUAUGUCGGUGCCGCUUUAGGAUGCCGAAAGUUACCAAUUCUACCCGUUGCAGUCGUGUUGGACGUGUCAACGUCCCGACGAUGGUCCUCCCCAUCAGCUACAACUUCAUGCCCAAACAAAAUUCUAUACGGAGUGAAUCCCGUGGAUGAAUGGACCGUAUUAUUGACCGUGUAUUCGAUUUCCGAUAUCCUGGUAUCCCAAAGGCGCUGAUCGGUCUUGACGUACGUCCUCAUGCAAGCAUUAAUGCUACGAUUAAGACGCUCCACCGGAUUUGCCUGGCUGUGGUAUCGAGCAUUGGCCCAAUGCUUUACCUGGUAAUGCUCAAGGAAUUCCUGGAAUUUGCGACUAAGGAAACAAGUGGCAUUAUCGCUGAUAAGAAUUUCUGGGACCGAAUAGCGAUGGAACCACUGUUCCUGGAGGAUUUUAAUUAUGGAUUCGGUUGAAAUUUUCUUGACGGGUACUAACACAGUCCAUUUGGAAAAAAGGUCCAGUAGUACGAGCAAGAGAAGUCGGAUAGGGAUUAAUUCGGACGGCGGGAGCGUGAAGAAAUUCCUCCUUAAAUUCAAUUUUGUGCGAUAUCCAAUUAGUCACGUCAAGAGUUUCACCUUCGAUAGCAACUUUAAAGU